Scomber japonicus (chub mackerel) is the source of this 247-nucleotide long non-coding RNA. RefSeq lists it as uncharacterized. Lineage: Eukaryota; Metazoa; Chordata; Actinopteri; Scombriformes; Scombridae. The transcript is spliced from 3 exons. The record is from RefSeq and is a predicted model, not a curated record.
GGGAAUGUAUGCCCUGUACCAUGAGUUCUUCAAGGUGAUCAUGAUCGUGGUCUUUGGUUUUGCGGUCGCCGCACUGAUAAGCCUGGCGGCUUCCCUCAUGCUGCUUCGUCUACACAGAGAUCAAGAUCAACCUUCUCCACAUCUGACUGGAGCUCUGUUACCUGAGCUAGUCACAGGAUCAUACCUAGGUGCUUCAACUCCAGUAUGGAGUGCUCAAUAAUGCGGAUGGUACAGCACAACUGAAGUA